GAUGAACGCUGGCGGCGUGCCUAAUACAUGCAAGUCGAGCGAACAGACGAGAAGCUUGCUUCUCUGAUGUUAGCGGCGGACGGGUGAGUAACACGUGGAUAACCUACCUAUAAGACUGGGAUAACUUCGGGAAACCGGAGCUAAUACCGGAUAAUAUUUUGAACCGCAUGGUUCAAAAGUGAAAGACGGUCUUGCUGUCACUUAUAGAUGGAUCCGCGCUGCAUUAGCUAUUUGGUAAGGUAACGGCUUACCAAGGCAACGAUGCAUAGCCGACCUGAGAGGGUGAUCGGCCACACUGGAACUGAGACACGGUCCAGACUCCUACGGGAGGCAGCAGUAGGGAAUCUUCCGCAAUGGGCGAAAGCCUGACGGAGCAACGCCGCGUGAGUGAUGAAGGUCUUCGGAUCGUAAAACUCUGUUAUUAGGGAAGAACAUAUGUGUAAGUAACUGUGCACAUCUUGACGGUACCUAAUCAGAAAGCCACGGCUAACUACGUG
RNAcentral lists this ribosomal RNA (497 nucleotides) under uncultured bacterium. Its description in RNAcentral is "partial 16S ribosomal RNA". It matches the Rfam family "Bacterial small subunit ribosomal RNA", at positions 28 to 507 of the family's 1533-position model. The record is from RNAcentral.